GCGAUACAGGGUGACAGCCCCGUACACAAAAAUGCACAUAUUGUGAGCUCGAUGAGUAGGGCGGGACACGUGGUAUCCUGUCUGAAUAUGGGGGGACCAUCCUCCAAGGCUAAAUACUCCUGACUGACCGAUAGUGAACCAGUACCGUGAGGGAAAGGCGAAAAGAACCCCGGCGAGGGGAGUGAAAAAGAACCUGAAACCGUGUACGUACAAGCAGUGGGAGCCUCUUUAUGGGGUGACUGCGUACCUUUUGUAUAAUGGGUCAGCGACUUAUAUUCUGUAGCAAGGUUAACCGAAUAGGGGAGCCGAAGGGAAACCGAGUCUUAACUGGGCGUUAAGUUGCAGGGUAUAGACCCGAAACCCGGUGAUCUAGCCAUGGGCAGGUUGAAGGUUGGGUAACACUAACUGGAGGACCGAACCGACUAAUGUUGAAAAAUUAGCGGAUGACUUGUGGCUGGGGGUGAAAGGCCAAUCAAACCGGGAGAUAGCUGGUUCUCCCCGAAAGCUAUUUAGGUAGCGCCUCGUGAAUUCAUCUCCGGGGGUAGAGCACUGUUUCGGCAAGGGGGUCAUCCCGACUUACCAACCCGAUGCAAACUGCGAAUACCGGAGAAUGUUAUCACGGGAGACACACGGCGGGUGCUAACGUCCGUCGUGAAGAGGGAAACAACCCAGACCGCCAGCUAAGGUCCCAAAGUCAUGGUUAAGUGGGAAACGAUGUGGGAAGGCCCAGACAGCCAGGAUGUUGGCUUAGAAGCAGCCAUCAUUUAAAGAAAGCGUAAUAGCUCACUGGUCGAGUCGGCCUGCGCGGAAGAUGUAACGGGGCUAAACCAUGCACCGAAGCUGCGGCAGCGACACUAUGUGUUGUUGGGUAGGGGAGCGUUCUGUAAGCCUGUGAAGGUGGCCUGUGAGGGUUGCUGGAGGUAUCAGAAGUGCGAAUGCUGACAUAAGUAACGAUAAAGCGGGUGAAAAGCCCGCUCGCCGGAAGACCAAGGGUUCCUGUCCAACGUUAAUCGGGGCAGGGUGAGUCGACCCCUAAGGCGAGGCCGAAAGGCGUAGUCGAUGGGAAACAGGUUAAUAUUCCUGUACUUGGUGUUACUGCGAAGGGGGGACGGAGAAGGCUAUGUUGGCCGGGCGACGGUUGUCCCGGUUUAAGCGUGUAGGCUGGUUUUCCAGGCAAAUCCGGAAAACCAAGGCUGAGGCGUGAUGACGAGGCACUACGGUGCUGAAGCGACAAAUGCCCUGCUUCCAGGAAAAGCCUCUAAGCAUCAGGUAACAUCAAAUCGUACCCCAAACCGACACAGGUGGUCAGGUAGAGAAUACCAAGGCGCUUGAGAGAACUCGGGUGAAGGAACUAGGCAAAAUGGUGCCGUAACUUCGGGAGAAGGCACGCUGAUAUGUAGGUGAAGCGACUUGCUCGUGGAGCUGAAAUCAGUCGAAGAUACCAGCUGGCUGCAACUGUUUAUUAAAAACACAGCACUGUGCAAACACGAAAGUGGACGUAUACGGUGUGACGCCUGCCCGGUGCCGGAAGGUUAAUUGAUGGGGUUAGCGGUAACGCGAAGCUCUUGAUCGAAGCCCCGGUAAACGGCGGCCGUAACUAUAACGGUCCUAAGGUAGCGAAAUUCCUUGUCGGGUAAGUUCCGACCUGCACGAAUGGCGUAAUGAUGGCCAGGCUGUCUCCACCCGAGACUCAGUGAAAUUGAACUCGCUGUGAAGAUGCAGUGUACCCGCGGCAAGACGGAAAGACCCCGUGAACCUUUACUAUAGCUUGACACUGAACAUUGAGCCUUGAUGUGUAGGAUAGGUGGGAGGCUUUGAAGUGUGGACGCCAGUCUGCAUGGAGCCGACCUUGAAAUACCACCCUUUAAUGUUUGAUGUUCUAACGUUGGCCCGUAAUCCGGGUUGCGGACAGUGUCUGGUGGGUAGUUUGACUGGGGCGGUCUCCUCCUAAAGAGUAACGGAGGAGCACGAAGGUUGGCUAAUCCUGGUCGGACAUCAGGAGGUUAGUGCAAUGGCAUAAGCCAGCUUGACUGCGAGCGUGACGGCGCGAGCAGGUGCGAAAGCAGGUCAUAGUGAUCCGGUGGUUCUGAAUGGAAGGGCCAUCGCUCAACGGAUAAAAGGUACUCCGGGGAUAACAGGCUGAUACCGCCCAAGAGUUCAUAUCGACGGCGGUGUUUGGCACCUCGAUGUCGGCUCAUCACAUCCUGGGGCUGAAGUAGGUCCCAAGGGUAUGGCUGUUCGCCAUUUAAAGUGGUACGCGAGCUGGGUUUAGAACGUCGUGAGACAGUUCGGUCCCUAUCUGCCGUGGGCGCUGGAGAACUGAGGGGGGCUGCUCCUAGUACGAGAGGACCGGAGUGGACGCAUCACUGGUGUUCGGGUUGUCAUGCCAAUGGCACUGCCCGGUAGCUAAAUGCGGAAGAGAUAAGUGCUGAAAGCAUCUAAGCACGAAACUUGCCCCGAGAUGAGUUCUCCCUGACUCCUUGAGAGUCCUGAAGGAACGUUGAAGACGACGACGUUGAUAGGCCGGGUGUGUAAGCGCAGCGAUGCGUUGAGCUAACCGGUACUAAUGAACCGUGAGGCUUAACCUU
Molecule: ribosomal RNA, 2588 nt
Filed under: Escherichia coli
Lineage: Bacteria; Pseudomonadati; Pseudomonadota; Gammaproteobacteria; Enterobacterales; Enterobacteriaceae
Also listed under: 4 other names
Description: partial 23S ribosomal RNA
Rfam family: Bacterial large subunit ribosomal RNA
Source: RNAcentral